Molecule: long non-coding RNA, 370 nt
Organism: Frieseomelitta varia
Lineage: Eukaryota; Metazoa; Arthropoda; Insecta; Hymenoptera; Apidae
Exons: 2
Source: RefSeq, a predicted model, not a curated record
AUAAUGUUUUAUGUUGUGUUGCACAAUAUUUACAGGCUUUUUUUGUGCAUAAAGAAAUCAAUAAGUACAGGUCAAGCACUCAUGCAACACUGAUUUGUAUAGAAGGAACAAGUCAAUGUUUGUUUCAUUCAAAGUUUCGUGUUGUAUUACCUUUAAGUAAUUAUCUUGACUUUGCUAUUCUGAAAAUAAAUAAUACAUAGCUAUACGAGGCAAUGCUUUGCACAGGAAUACACAGCCAACAUAAAGAUCAAAAUGUGUCUCUGUAAUAUUGAUGUUGCAACAAUGGGAGUGGUAUGGAAUGCAUUUUUUGAAUCUGUAUUUUGAUUUUCCAUGUUUGAAUUACUCAGUAAAUCAUCAUUUAACACAUCAA